ACGUAGGUCACAAGCGUUGUCCGGAAUUACUGGGCGUAAAGGGAGCGCAGGCGGGAAGACAAGUUGGAAGUGAAAUCUAUGGGCUCAACCCAUAAACUGCUUUCAAAACUGUUUUUCUUGAGUAGUGCAGAGGUAGGCGGAAUUCCCGGUGUAGCGGUGGAAUGCGUAGAUAUCGGGAGGAACACCAGUGGCGAAGGCGGCCUACUGGGCACCAACUGACGCUGAGGCUCGAAAGUGUGGGUAGCAAACAG
This 251-nucleotide ribosomal RNA is filed under the name uncultured bacterium. Its description in RNAcentral is "partial 16S ribosomal RNA". It matches the Rfam family "Bacterial small subunit ribosomal RNA", at positions 525 to 775 of the family's 1533-position model. The record is from RNAcentral.